Molecule: ribosomal RNA, 458 nt
Filed under: Pseudomonas aeruginosa
Lineage: Bacteria; Pseudomonadati; Pseudomonadota; Gammaproteobacteria; Pseudomonadales; Pseudomonadaceae
Description: bacterial SSU rRNA
Rfam family: Bacterial small subunit ribosomal RNA
Source: RNAcentral
GAUCCUGGCUCAGAUUGAACGCUGGCGGCAGGCCUAACACAUGCAAGUCGAGCGGAUGAAGGGAGCUUGCUCCUGGAUUCAGCGGCGGACGGGUGAGUAAUGCCUAGGAAUCUGCCUGGUAGUGGGGGAUAACGUCCGGAAACGGGCGCUAAUACCGCAUACGUCCUGAGGGAGAAAGUGGGGGAUCUUCGGACCUCACGCUAUCAGAUGAGCCUAGGUCGGAUUAGCUAGUUGGUGGGGUAAAGGCCUACCAAGGCGACGAUCCGUAACUGGUCUGAGAGGAUGAUCAGUCACACUGGAACUGAGACACGGUCCAGACUCCUACGGGAGGCAGCAGUGGGGAAUAUUGGACAAUGGGCGAAAGCCUGAUCCAGCCAUGCCGCGUGUGUGAAGAAGGUCUUCGGAUUGUAAAGCACUUUAAGUUGGGAGGAAGGGCAGUAAGUUAAUACCUUGCUGUU